CUGCCUUCUUUCAAGUUUGUUACUGUAUACAGAAAAGAAACACUCAGAGCAGUUGCUGCUGCUCUUGACAUAGCAUAUUAAACGUAUUACCUGUUAACCAUAUUAAUCGUCUAGGAUCAAUUCUAAUGAAACCUGAAUAAUCCCAAGGUUGAAACCAUAAGUGUGCCUCAAUUAGCUAUGAAAAUGGUAAUGUUCUAGCGGCGAUGAAUUAACUCUAUGUCUCAUCAGUUGUUUCAAAUGAAUCAGUUUUCAUCCUUGAAGCGAUCCACGGUUGUGAUUUUAUUACAUUUGAGAGCUGAUAGAUAUUCAUGGAAAAGUGUAGCUGGGUAUUAAGGAUUGCCCAUCCUCUGAGUUGUGUUGCUUGUACUAUAGUCCAGAAGUCCUGAUAUUAGUUACCUCUCGCUUCAUCUCAAAGUAGGUUCUCCUUAUGUUUCCUAAUAAUUAAAU
Long non-coding RNA from Populus euphratica (Euphrates poplar), 447 nucleotides. RefSeq lists it as uncharacterized. The transcript is spliced from 3 exons. The record is from RefSeq and is a predicted model, not a curated record. NCBI's taxonomy places the organism in Eukaryota, Viridiplantae, Streptophyta, Magnoliopsida, Malpighiales, Salicaceae.